Long non-coding RNA from Tachysurus fulvidraco (yellow catfish), 1415 nucleotides. RefSeq lists it as uncharacterized. NCBI's taxonomy places the organism in Eukaryota, Metazoa, Chordata, Actinopteri, Siluriformes, Bagridae. The record is from RefSeq and is a predicted model, not a curated record. The transcript has 4 exons.
AUGUUUUUUACUGUAAUCUUUAUUUUGCUCCACUAACACGAUGGCGUGCCUUCACUGUUUUGUUCUUUGUUCUCAUUCUCGGAACAAGCAGCAGUGACUAGCUAAGAGCCUCAGGGAAGCUGUUUAUAAGUGUGUGAGCAAAUCUGUAUCUCUCCCUCUCUCUCUCUCUCUCUCUCUCUCUCUCUCUCUCUCUCUCACACUCUCUCUCUCUCUGAAGCCAGAACGGUGACUAAUGCUGGCUGCUACCCAGACCACUGUUUACAUGUCUGCACUUAGGGAAAGAGAAACCGGUCUGAACCAGUGCAUACUGACCCACAAGGCUAUUCCAGAAGUCUGUUCUUGCACUGCAUUUAAUCUUUUCACUCACAAUGGACUGAAAUUGUGGUGAGGACAUUCAGUCUUAGUCACAGAGAAUGUGAUGGCCUUAUUUAGCCAUUAUACAUCAUCAAGAUCAAGAUCACCAGUGAAGAAGACAAAAAGGGACCCCAAUUUGCCACUGGGACUUGAAUGGUUAGCAUGUUUAGUGUUAGGGCUUUGAACCUGCCUCCACCCUGUGAGCACAGAGUUUGGGGUUUCCUCCAGGAUGAACACCUUAGCCCUCAGGGGUCCCUGAACGAUAGACUGUUUCUUUUGGAAGCGUUUCUGCCGAACAGCUGUGCGAGGCCUCCUGCCAAGUCCCUUUUUCACAAGCCCCCAUUUCACACGGUGCAUGUGUUGUUCAUGCUGAAAACCACAGCAAACACAGCGAGAAAUGGCUGCUACAGAACAAAGAGAGACAAAGGUUUUCAACAUUGUCCAUGUGGCUCCCAGGAGAAAGAUAAGCCUGUCUGAUGACUAGUGGCAUCAUUAUGUCUCCCUACUGAGCGUUUAUUUUGUUGCUCUGGGUUGUUCUUUGUGCAGGUCUGUACUUAAUUACUUCCAGGAAACAUGACAUUGGAAGAAAAUCAAAAUAAUACAUCUGUCAGAAUAGUGCGUUGUGCACAGAUGACACACUUUGAUUAACUCUGAACUGAAGAAUUAUUUUUUGAAGACAGAAAACAGCAACAAAAGCAUGUCCUGUGUUGUGUAACCUUUCACCACAUACUACUAGAUCUUAUUAUAUAACUUAUACAUAAAUUAUAUGUUUUUGGGCCUUAUACUAAACUCAGCAUGACUAAAUACCCCAAAUCCAAACUUGAAUAAUCUUACUUGACCUUAUGCAUUAGUUUGUUUUUGAAAGACAAUCACAUGACAUGACGUUGUUGUCAUGAUGUUGUUUGUUUAUGUCUGCUGCUCAAAAAAAUAAAAUCAUGGAUUUUAUCGAGAACUUGAUUUUAGUGCAGAAACUGUGUGAGGAACCAAAUGGGGUGUGUGUGUGUGUGUGUGUGUGUGUGUGUGUGUGUGUGUGUGUGUGUGUGUGUGUGUGUGUGUGUGUG